UGCGNAUGGGGGAACCCUGACGCAGCGACNCCGCGUGGGUGAUGAAGGCCUUCGGGUCGUNAAGCCCUGUCAGGUGGGAAGAAACGUAUCGAUGUUAAUACCAUCGAUACUUGACGGUACCAUCGGAGGAAGCACCGGCUAACUCCGUGCCAGCAGCCGCGGUAAUACGGAGGGUGCAAGCGUUGUUCGGAAUUACUGGGCGUAAAGCGCGUGUAGGCGGCUGGGUAAGUCAGAUGUGAAAGCCUCCCGCUCAACGGGAGAAGGGCAUUUGAGACUGCUCAGCUGGAGUACGGGAGAGGAGAGUGGAAUUCCCGGUGUAGAGGUGAAAUUCGUAGAUAUCGGGAGGAACACCAGUGGCGAAGGCGGCUCUCUGGUCCGAUACUGACGCUGAGACGCGAAAGCNUGGGGAGCAAACAGGAUUAGAUACCCUGGUAGUCCACGCCGUAAACGAUGGGCACUAGGUGUAGGAGGUAUUGACCCCUUCUGUGCCGAAGCUAACGCAUUAAGUGNCCCGCCUGGGGAGUACGGCCCGCAAGGCUAAAACUCAAAAAAAUNGACGGA
RNAcentral lists this ribosomal RNA (561 nucleotides) under uncultured bacterium. Its description in RNAcentral is "bacterial SSU rRNA". It matches the Rfam family "Bacterial small subunit ribosomal RNA", at positions 365 to 917 of the family's 1533-position model. The record is from RNAcentral.